This 239-nucleotide long non-coding RNA is filed under the name Elaeis guineensis (African oil palm). RNAcentral's name for it is "long non-coding RNA (EGUI_LNC008178)". Lineage: Eukaryota; Viridiplantae; Streptophyta; Magnoliopsida; Arecales; Arecaceae. The record is from RNAcentral.
AUGCGAUUAAUUAGUUUCAUGAUUCUUAGCACAUUGUUUGCGGGGAAAAGGAGUUACCCCGAGAAUCGCUCAUCACUCGGUGCUAGAUUUGGAAAAAAGUAGAAAACAUUGUAGAAAUUCUUAUAAAUUUAAUUCAUGCAAAUUAUCCAAAGACUAACGAUAAUGGCAGCAGUAAAUUAGGUGGAUAGCAAUACUACGAUUUACCAUGAAAUUAAAAAAAUAAAUAAAAGAAACAGAAA